Molecule: long non-coding RNA, 7339 nt
Organism: Diceros bicornis minor
Lineage: Eukaryota; Metazoa; Chordata; Mammalia; Perissodactyla; Rhinocerotidae
Exons: 4
Source: RefSeq, a predicted model, not a curated record
AAAAAACCCCAUAAAUAUUGGUGGCUUAUUAAAAAUAUUCUAGCUUGCAUGUCAGUCUAGUGUGGGUGUUCUCAGGGGGUAGGUAGCCUUCCAUGUAGUGAACUGAGGAAGCAUCCUCCUUCUAUCCUGUGGCCUGGGGGUCCUCCACUUCUACUUUGGUUUUUAUUCCACUAGUGAGAACUAGUUACACGGUCAAACCUAGACACAUGUCAUGCUGGGAAAUGUAGUCCAUGGUCGGAUAGCUCCUCCCUAGCAACAAACGUGCUAGGGACAUUUGCUGACUGCCUCUCCAGCAUCCAUUUGUCAGCACAACAGAAAGUACUUCGACUUUCCUUGGUGGAAUUCACCCUCUACCAUUCUCAGCCUUGUGACUUAGAUGGGGUUGACUCUUGCCCUAGUGGGUGGGCUCCGCCCAAUGUAAGCCAAUGAGCAAGUCACAUACUACUGGCUACAGUGACUGGGUGAGGGAUGGACACAUCAUAUAAUUCAGGCCAAUAGGAAAAGAGAAUCCUCAGACUUGUGCUAGAGUAGUCAGAAAAGACCCUCUCUUUUAUUUUGGGUGUGAAUAUCUGGAAGAGCUUCUGUCAUUUUGCUACCAUGAGAGAGCCAACCUGGAGCUGCAUGCAUGUGUGCGUGAGUGUGUGUGUGCGUGUGUGUGUGUGUGUGUGUGUGUGUAGGGUAGGGUAGGAGGGAGAGUCAAGACCACUGCUUGGAGUCAGAGGAUGAAGCCAACAUUUGGAAAGCAGAGCCCUGAGAUAGAGAGAAACCAGAUUCUUGGUGACAUUAUUGUUGAGGCUGGAUCAUGCCUUGACUGCGACUCACUUUCGUCUUGAACUUUCAAUUAUGUAAAUCAAUAAAUUCCCAUUAUUGUUAAGGUGGUUUGAGUUGGGUGCUUUAUCACUUGUGAUUGAAUAUGUGCUAACCAAUAUGGACCUUUUUGGUUAAAUAAAAAUAUCGAAAAAGUUUGGCCAAGUGUCAAGGUGGCCGGAGAUAAUUUUUCAAUGUUUCCAUAAAAGACAUUUUAUUAGUUUUUACGUAGUGGAGAUCAUAUGCAUAAUUAAUUUAAUCCUCCUUAUUUUCUCUUAGCAUGAUUUGCAAGCAUCUCUCCAUGUCAUUAAAAACUGUAAGCAUUAUUCAAAAUGGCUUGUUCCAUAUUCUAAUUUGUCACCACUGCCUAAUCAUUGGGCAUUUAGGCUGCUUUGAGUUUUUAGUUCCUUGGUUUUUCCUUUAGGGUACAUUCCUAGAGGUGGAGUUACUUGGUCAAAGGUGGGAGCAUUGUAAAGAGCUUGAUAACAAUUGCCAAAUUAUUUCCUGGAAAAGUCAGACCAGUUACACUCCCUCCAGCAAUGGGCUUGCAUCACGGCUCACAUUGGCCUCCCCGUACCCUGGUCGGCAUGUAAGCAUCUCACACAUCUUUGUUAAUGCAACAGGCCAAAAGUGGGCCUUUGUUUAAAUUUGCUCGAAUGCCAAUGACUUGACUUCAUAUCUCAUGACCUAGUGUUUAAUAUACUGCUGAGUCCCUGACACUUGACCUGCUUGACCUCUGACUCUUGGCCUCUGACAUUUGCCCUGCUUCAGACAAUGUUCUAAAUAACAUAGACCAGGGUUUCUUAGCAUCGGCACUAGUGACAUUUAACUAGUGACACACAUGUAUACAUGCAAAUAUAUAGCUAGAUAGCUAGAUAGAGAGUUCUAUCUAUCUCUAUCUAUCUAUAUUGUAUAUAUUUUUAAACUUUCUUUAUAUUAUGAUGUUUUGACAUCUUAAAAAGCCUUUCUGACUGGGAGAGACUGCCCCUCCUGGGCUAGCCUACUCUUAGAGAUGGCAAAGGCCCAGCCAGGAGCGUGCCUUUCGUAUGCAAACUACCCAUUCCAGAGCCACACCCCUCUACCCAGCCCUCACACCCCAGGAGACAAUAUUCCUCUGCCUGGAUCAUCCCAGGGCCAGGGACCAGGCCCUAGAGACCACCCCUAUGGCCCAAAGCCCACAGGAAUGAUUCAAACUAGCCGGUUCUCAACUGUUUACCUGUCUGUCUGUCCUUGCUUUCCCCGUGGAAACCCCAAUAAAGGCCAUGGCCUAAGCUCUCCCCUCUCUCCUGUCUUCUGCCUCCUGACUACCCUAGUGUUUUCCCCUGUGGCCCUGUGUCAUGUACGAUGACUCCCUCUCUAGGACCUAUGAGUUUAAUAAAGGUUGAUCUGCUACAAGCAUCUCCUGUUUCCCCCAUGGCCACACCUGACUGGCCGUCCUCUGAACACACAGUUGAAAUCGAUUUAACAACCCACUAUCUAUCCAGCCUCCUGGUUCUGCUUCUCUGUUGAACCUGGCCUAAUACAACAGGCUUGGAACCUAUUUCAAAGACGAGGUUUUGCUGACGGUCUGAAGGAAGGGGUGCAGAAAAGCGGUUGAUCAAGGACUGCCAGACUUCGGCCCACACAAUUAUCCCUUGUCCACAGCCUUUCAACUUGAAAGAGCCAAGGUCUGGCCAGAGUCAGGCUUGGACGGCUCACCUUGCGCCCUUCUGAGUGAUUUCAUCUGCCUCUUUGACAUCUUGCUCCAGAACAAGGCUCACCGCUUUAGACCCUACUUACUGUUCCUUACUGUGCUUGCCCCUUUCCCCGCCAUGCUUCAUUAGCGGCAUUUUAAGGGCGAACCUGCUGGAACUGUUGGCAGAACUCCACAAGGUACAAGCGAGCCUUUUUAGUGCCAAUGGCUCCAGCCCCCAGAUAUCUCUAAAGGACGUUUUUCAUUUCUUUCCCUUGUGGUCCAUCACCAUCCCGUUGUGCUUAAAGGAUUAGGGAUGGCAGUGGGUGAGUUUUGAGCUGUAUCCUUCUGGAAGGCCCCAGAUUGGGGGGAGACUGUCGGUUCUAAACCAGAAUUUCCGUAUGGGUAGCCGAUUAAGAGAUGAUAUCUGAAGACUUGCAAAGGAGUCUGGCAGCUGCUGCGCUGAUCUCAGGGGAGAGGACCCUUCCUUCUUGUGGAGGAUUCAUGAAGAGAUUGCUCAGCUAACCACAGAUCCUCCUGGAAACUUGUAGAUGCUAUUGAAAAAUCCGUGCUCUCUGUGGGCAAAGAGACAUCCAGGGAGCGGAAAAUUGGGGCAAAUGCCCCCACUGGGGCCCAGGAGGGCGUCUGUAGUUUCAGAUUCUUUUGAGCAGAGAGAGUGACUCUCGGCUGCGGGCACAAAACGUUUAAAAAAAGAAGCCACGUUUAUUUAUAGUCAGCCAGCUUCUGACCCGUUUCUCUUUUCUCAUCAUGAAGGCCAAGAGGGGGGCGGUUUCACUGUGGCUCCUGCCCCUGUUCAAGGCUUUCCUUGAAAGUCACAAAAACCAGGAAAGAGCCUGCCCCCAUUGUAAAAACCGUAUAUGCUCAUUAUAAAACCAAAAUUCAUACAGCACCGAGAAAUAUAUAGAGAGAGGAAUAUAUAGAAAGAGGAAAAGAGAGAAAAACCUUCCAAACUCCCGCUACCCAGAGAUUAUCACUGUUAUCGUUUUGAUAAAUGUUCUUCUGGAUAUUUCUAAAUGCACAUUCACAUACACACACUCUUUCUCUUUCACACACACACAUACACACUCACAAGACUGUUUCAUACAUGCUUACACGCAAAUACACUCACACACACAUACACACCCACCCACACACUCGUACACACGCUCACACACAUACACGCACUUAUCACCCUUUCUCGUACACACAUACUCUUUCACACACUUGCACGCACACACACUAAUACACCACCACACACUUCUAUGCAAAUGAGAUCACAUCCUGCUUGUUCUCUUAUUCUGUAACCUGCUUUUUUACCUAACCUUAUGCCAUGGUCCUGUUUCUGGGUCAACAAAUUUAGAAAUAGCUCAUCAAUUUUAAUGGCUGCUUAAAAUUCUCCUGUGUGGUUAAAAUGUACCGUAUUUAACCAGUUCCCUAUUGGUGGACAUUUAGGUUGAUUUUGAUGUUUAUUGUUGCUAUGAAAAUCUCUGUGGUUAUAUCUUGAUCCACUUGUAUAAUUUAUUGGUCAUUUAAACAUCUCUCUCUCUCCUUUUUUGAAGUACUGUAUGUAAUUGUCUUUUGGGGGGUUGAGAUGAGAAAAUAACAUGGCAUUUCCUGAGACUUCUGAAUCCUCUAGGAGAGUUCUCAGCAUGGAAGUGAAACUCAGGAGCUGGGCCCAAGUCAGUGCUGUUCAGACUUCCCGGAUGAGAAGAAUCACGAGGGAUAGGUGGGCUGAAAGUCCAGUUCCUGGGGCUCUCUGGGACCUUUUGCAUCAGUCUCCUCGGGGGAAAAACAGAGACACCAGUAUAGGUGGGGACCCAGGGGCAGAGAGAAGCAGGAGGAAGCUGAGAGAACUCACAAAAAUCAUUGGCUGUAUAACCGAGGUUUGGACAGAGUUUAAAUGUCUAGGAGGGGCACAGGGAGCCAGGAAAUUACAAUAUAGUGAGAUAGUGAGCCAAGUGUUAAGUACAAGCACAAGAUGUGUUGGAGGCGCUGAAAAGGCUCAUCAGUUCUUGGAGGUCUGGGAAGGCUUCCUGGAGAAAGUGCCCCAAGUAAGUGCUCUAAGGUGUCUUGGAAAUGGCCAGGUGAUGGAAAUAUGGGAAGGGGGUUCAGGAGACAGCAUCCUAGGAAGAGGGCAAAGCUGUCAUAGAGGCCAAGAGGGGAGCAAGACAUGGUGCUUGCCCUCGCCGAGCCUCAAAUCUAGACAAACAGAUGAACAGGUAAGUUCAAAACACAGAGCUAAAUCUGGUGACAGUGGGGACUGACCCAGUUGGGGGAAGCGCUUGGGGUCUGAGACAAUUUACCGAAACCUGAUAUUCUCCUGAAAGGCAUUUCUUUCCUCUUGCUCUUAGAGACCAAAAGGACUUUUCCUGUAACUCAGAAAACAAUACAGUGGUGCUGAUUCAGUGCCUAGUGUCAUUGCUAUUAAGGGUCUUCAUUUUCAUGUGACCAAGAUGGCAACUGAAGUAAUUUACAAGACAGGAGGCAGGACUUGGGCAUAUAAACAAGGGCAGGAUUGUCUUGUGAUUACUCCUGGGCUUCAGUGAGAAGUGGGGACCAGCUUUGUAGCUGUCGAUAGAGCCGGGAUUAUGAGAAGGAAACUGGGAAAAGGUCAUUUUAAGAAACUGACAUGCCCCUUAGAGUUGGUUUGACAUGAGCUAUACCACCCAAAGGUUCUGGGACAUCAAAAAUUCCCUCUUCAGCCGUUGGUGGUCUCUGGAAUGUCUAUGUCUAGCAUGGGGUGAAGGAGUGAAUGUGAAUGAUUGUUUAUACAUGCAGCAUAGUGUGGGCUGUGAGUCUCUGAGUGUGGUUCAUGAAUCUUCUGGAAGCUUCUAGAAGGCACAUCCUUGGGUCCUAUCCCAGACCCUUGGAAUUGGACACUCCUAGCUGUUUAUCUAGCAUCCAUCUCAGCUCUGCUCCCAUUCUCUUCUCUUUCCCAACAGAAUCAAGAUUUUGUGAUUCAGUUGUACACCCCUCUCCCAAGUCAUCAUAAAACUCGAGGAAAACUAUUCUUAGAUAUAAUUUGACUACUCUCAAGGAAUUGCUAUUUUUCUGCCUGUGAUUGCUUCAAGAAUGGGCACUUGACCCGUUUUGAUCCAGUAAAAGGUAAAAGGAAGCCUGUUGAAGGCUCCAGAACAAAUUCCCCCUUUCCAAAGAAAAAAACUGGGAAGAGAUGUCUUUUCUUCUUCCUCUGGAUGCUCUUGACUCUGAGUGUUGUACCUGGAACUGCUGCUGCAGCCAUUUGUGACUCUCUGGGCACGAAGCCAACACUGAAGGGAGCAGAGAGAAGAGAGGGAAAGAACCUGGGUUCUUGAAGGUAUCAUUGAGUGGCUGAAUCAACCUCCCCUGAGGCGGGACCUCUCUGUGGACUUCCUCUUAUGUGAGAUAAUGAACUCUUUUAUUGUUUGAGUUGGACUUUCCAUUACUUGCAGCCAAAGCACCCUAACCAAUACACACUCACUGAAUCAGAAUCUCUGGUGACGAACCUGUCCCAGCUGAUUCUCAUGUACGCUUAAGCGUGGAAACCGCUGGAAAGAUGGAGGGGACACUGAACUGGCCCUCCAGGUUCUGGCCCUGGCUCUGCCACUAAAUUGCUGAGCCACUUGGGGCAAGUCACAUUCCCUGUCUGAGCCCCAGCUUCCUUGUGUGACAAAGGAGAGAGACAUCCUAGAGAUUCUCUUUAUCUUUGUGUUCUCCUGUCUUGCUAUAAUGUGGUUCUAGGUGAGUCUGGUGGGUACCUGUGGCAGGAGAGAACACUGAGGAAGAGACUUCACUAGAUGCUUUGAUGUCAGUACUGCAGAGCAGGAAGGAAUGUUAUGGCUAUUUUCAACAAAAGCUGGCUGCAGACUAUUCAGCUUUCUAGAGGUAUGGCAUAAUUAAUCUCAGGGAUUCGAAGGUUCUAUUGUCUAGAAAAAUGCCUUGAUGGAGAUUUUGUUCCCAAUAUGGGGCACUCCCCUCAUCCCCCAGCAGAGCCUGGAUGAAAGAUUGAAAUAAGAGAGGGUUGGACUUCUUGGUACUGUAGGUUAAAGUGUGAUGCAACAGAAUCUUGCAUUUCUAGCAGUCCCUAGGAAAAGAGGGUGAGGGGUGCAGGAACAGAGCAGAAGGGAAAAGUGGGCAGGGUCUAGGGAAGGAGAGGCUGAGAAGAUGGAGGGUCGUGACCGGGGCCUCAGGAGGACGUGGCCAGAGGGGAAUUUCCUAGGAUGAGGAAUGGUCCAUAAAUACCAGGACAGUGACAUCUAAUGUCCACCUCGGACUCGUCACCUGGCCGGUUUUGUGCUGUAACCCCCCUCCGUCACCCCAAAUCUUCGGUGAAAGUCUGCAAUAUACUUCUCGUUCUUGUUUCUUGGGGGAAUAAAGAAAGAACUGAGGGCGAGUUCACUGUGAUAUGAUGUGUAGAAAGAACGUGGACAUCUCAGUAGAUUUUCAGAAUCUAUCCAUUCUACGGAAGCAGGAAAACGUCACAAGAAGUGACCAGUCUACUUGCUUCUGGUGGAAUUGACUUCAUCAUGGUACCCCUGCCCCCCACCUUCCUCCAGAGAUGAGCAUGUGACCCAGGCCUGGCCACUCAGACUCUUUGGAAACCUGCCAUACUCAUAUAUCAGAUGAGAAGACUGAAGCACAGAGAGGUUAAGUGGCUUCUCCAAGGUCACACCACUGAUUGGCCCUGGGCUACCAUCCAUGCCCAUCUUCCUCUACUUUAUAUGGGAUGCUGCCACAGCAUGGCUUGACAAGUGGUGCAUUGGUCUGCGCCUGGGAUCCGGACCUGCGAACCCCUGGCCAUCUGAGCGGAGUGAGUGAACUUAAUCGCUACGCCACUGGGCUGGCCCCCUGGAAACAUUCUUAACCUACACUGACAAGUAC